RNAcentral lists this long non-coding RNA (207 nucleotides) under Mytilus galloprovincialis (Mediterranean mussel). Lineage: Eukaryota; Metazoa; Mollusca; Bivalvia; Mytilida; Mytilidae. The record is from RNAcentral.
UGAUAAUGUAUUUUUUUUGAAUUUCAGCAAAAGGACUUCAGCAAACAGUAUUCAUACAUAGCUUGUAGCCAGGAUAAUAUUUAAAAGAUAGAUCUUUAUGCUUCAACUCAGCGUGCUGGUCUUUUAAAUCUGAGUACAUUCAUACAAUAUAAACAUAUAACAUAAAUAUUAUUUUCAACCUGCAUAUGUAUGUGAUAGUUGCCGCAG